CCAAUAGCGUAUAUUAAAGUUGUUGCAGUUAAAAAGCUCGUAGUUAAACUUCGGGGCUUACCCAUUGGUCAGGCUUAAUUGUCUGUACUGGUGAGAUAAAUCUCUACCUUCUGAGGAACUUUCAUGUCAUUAAUUUGGUGUGAUUGGAAAUCAGGACUGUUACUUUGAAAAAAUUAGAGUGUUUAAAGCAGGCUAACGUCUGAAUACAUUAGCAUGGAAUAAUGAAAUAGGAUGGACUGAUUCUAUUUCGUUGGUUUCUAGGAUCACCGUAAUGAUUAAUAGGGAUAGUUGGGGGCAUUAGUAUUCAAUUGUCAGAGGUGAAAUUCUUGGAUUUAUUGAAGACUAACUACUGCGAAAGCAUUUGCCAAGGAUGUUUUCAUUAAUCAAGAACGAAAGUUAGGGGAUCGAAGACGAUCAGAUACCGUCGUAGUCUUAACCAUAAACUAUGCCGACUAGGGAUCGGACGAAGUUAAUUUUAUAAUGACGCGUUCGGCACCUUACG
This 502-nucleotide ribosomal RNA is filed under the name uncultured Glomeromycotina. Its description in RNAcentral is "partial small subunit ribosomal RNA". It matches the Rfam family "Eukaryotic small subunit ribosomal RNA", at positions 591 to 1092 of the family's 1831-position model. The record is from RNAcentral. Lineage: Eukaryota; Fungi; Glomeromycota.